AGUCGUAACAAGGUCUCCGUUGGUGAACCAGCGGAGGGAUCAUUAGCGAGUUAAUCAUAAACUCCAAAACCCCUGUGAACUUACCUAUGUUGCCUCGGCAGGUCGUGGUGUGUAGCGGUGACCACUGGGUCGCUUGCCUCGCACCACGCUGAAAAGACCUGUCAAAGGACCCCUAAACUCUGUUUUUACAACUGUAUCUCUGAGUCUAUUAUACAAAUAAGUUAAAACUUUCAACAACGGAUCUCUUGGCUCUGGCAUCGAUGAAGAACGCAGCGAAAUGCGAUAAGUAAUGUGAAUUGCAGAAUUCAGUGAAUCAUCGAAUCUUUGAACGCACAUUGCGCCUGAUAGUAUUCUGUCAGGCAUGCCUGUUCGAGCGUCAUUUCAACCCCCAAGCCCUAUUUGCUUGACGUUGGGAGUUUACGGAGACGUAAUUCCUCAAAUAUAGUGGCGGAGCUAGGUCGUGCUCUAAGCGUAGUAACCACAAUUCUCGCUUCUGCAGCCGGCUUAGGUCCUGCCGUAAAACCCCUAUAUUUUUUUAUUGGUUGACCUCGGAUCAGGUAGGAAUACCCGCUGAACUUAAGCAUAUCAAUA
RNAcentral lists this unclassified non-coding RNA (591 nucleotides) under leaf metagenome. Its description in RNAcentral is "partial contains small subunit ribosomal RNA, internal transcribed spacer 1, 5.8S ribosomal RNA, internal transcribed spacer 2, and large subunit ribosomal RNA". The stretch from base 226 to 379 matches the Rfam family "5.8S ribosomal RNA". The record is from RNAcentral.